CUGUUAUUGUUGACGACAAGGUUAAAGAGAGCCAUGGCUCCACUUUCCUGAGCCACUGCAUUCCUUGCUUGCACAGCUGACUCUAGGAACUGCAACAGUCCUUCAACAAACCCAUUGGCCCCCAUACAAAUCCUGGCCUCCUCAUCAUCUUUUAGCAGAAGCCUUAUUUUUUCUACUACCUUGCACUUUUCCCUCAAGUCUUUCUCUUCAUUCAGCAUCUUCAAAAAAUCCUGAUACCUUUGAAACAUAUCAUGCUCAAAGUCUUCUUCCCGUGGAGUUUUCUCCUCUUGUGGUUUCAAACUUUCCAUUUCAUGUCGCUCAGCCUCCUCAAUGGUACCACUCUCUAAAGGAACUACCUUCAUACCUUUCAAUUUGCCAGAGCUGAUGCUGUCCACUGAUUUUGAAUUUGCAGACUCCGACUGACACAAUGACAGCCUAAAGUAGUUGAGAUCAAG
RNAcentral lists this unclassified non-coding RNA (455 nucleotides) under Hevea brasiliensis (rubber tree). Lineage: Eukaryota; Viridiplantae; Streptophyta; Magnoliopsida; Malpighiales; Euphorbiaceae. The record is from RNAcentral.